Acipenser ruthenus (sterlet) is the source of this 3394-nucleotide RNA transcript. RefSeq lists it as uncharacterized. The transcript is spliced from 10 exons. The record is from RefSeq and is a predicted model, not a curated record. Lineage: Eukaryota; Metazoa; Chordata; Actinopteri; Acipenseriformes; Acipenseridae.
CUGCUGUUUUAUAAAGUGUUUUUAUAGCUGUUUAUCAUACUUCCUACCUCAAUAAAUGUAAGUGACUCUGCAGCAGCUGCUAAUGCAUAGCUCACCCCCUAGUCUCUAAAUUGGAUAAGAGUCUGCUAAAUUCCUAAGAACAGUAAUAAUUUGAUCUUAUGUGCUUCACACAAGCAGCGCAUCAAGACUUGCGUAUUGCAAUACAUAUCCUAUCAGGACCUGCGUAUCGUGAUACAUAUCAUGAUGUGAGCAUAUCGCUACACCCCUCUUCCACACUGACUCGUUCUGCACCAGCUCUUGCAUGUCUGCUGCUGUUUCUGUCUGUCUUUUAAGGUUUCUUUAGUGAUCCCUGAAGCAGUGGAGAGAGAGUAGGGGUGUACCCAUGAUCUUAUUACUGCAUGCUUUGAAUCUCACUGGGAGGGAACGGAGCCAGACUGAUACAGGGCAAUGUCAGAUGUGAAGGUGCAUUAAAACCUGAGGAAGGAGGGGUGGGGAUUACAGCAGGCUAAUCCCAACCCAGGUAAUCCCAAUUGACCUACAAUCCCCAACACUUUUGCUCCCCCUGCCUCUCCCUGGGUUUGUGCAUUGAUCCCCUCUGGAUUUUACAAUAGGAAAUCUACACUAUAGAAGUCAAUGUACAGUCCUCAAACACUACCAACAAAAAUGGUUGGCACAUCCUGGAAGACGAAGGGUUAACCAAAGUGGCCCGGAUGGUUUAGGCACUGACAGAGACAGCUGUGCAAGGACUCCUCUAGGGGCGGGGUUAAUUAUAUCCGUCAUUACGUUGGGUCAGUCUCCGUCAGUCAACAAAGGAGUUUGUGAACUCCUGAAUAGAAAACGAAGCCUCUGCUCACCUUACCACCCUCAAACGAAUGGUUUGGUGGAAAGAAUGAAUGGCACCAUACAGAGAGCUCUAAGCAAACUUUGCCAGCAGAAGCCAGAGACCUGGGACACAUCUGGACGCGGUUAUUUUUGGGUUUAGGACAAAAAAAAGUUGACCACACGUCAUUUACCAUAUUUUAUCAUGUUUGGACGAGAGGCCCGCUACCCCUCUGAAGUUCCAGAAUCUUAUUGAGGUGAACAGAACCGUUGAGGAUGUGCUUGGGGAAGAGGUUGUGUUUCCAGGUAUAAAAUUAAAGGACAAAAUUUGAGACUGUGAGGGCAAAUGCACAAACUGCAGUAAAUGAAACAAAGGCCCGAAAAGAAGCAGCAGUGGCAGCAAGACAAACAUUCACUCUAGAUGAAAAGGUACUAAGGAAGAACCGCAGGAGCCAGCAGAGGAAAGGGGGAAAAAUGGAUCGGGACCUUCUGGGCCCUUUCACCAUUACGGCUGUACAGGGCAAAAGUGCAGAUUUGACUGAUGAGAAAGGAAAGGUCUUUCCAAGUAUCAGCUUGGAUCACUUGGUGCCCUAUACAGAAGAGGUUCCUCGUUUACCACACAAAGUACUUUUCUAGGGUUGCUCUUGGAAGACCUGGAUCUCCGGCCCCAGCUGUGGUCAGUCGAGGAUCUCCGGCCCCAGCUGUGGUCAGACGAGGAUCUCCGGCCCCAGCUGUAGUCAGUCCAGUUAUUCUUGAGAAAUGUAAUAAAUGCAUAUAUAACAGCACUGGUGAGGAGAUUUAAUCUUGAAGGGGACGAAAAAGCCUUCCUCAUUGAAUCAUUCACCAUGAGCAAAAUAUGGCGGGGCUCAUAUCAAACACUGAGAGCUUGAUCCCAGCAAGUACAGUUUGAUUUUGGGCAUUAUAAAUGAACAUCACCACUGGACACUUGCUGUUCUGUAUCCAUCCCAAAAGAAGACUAUUUUCUUGGAUCCACUGGGAGAGUCCAAAGAAAUUUGUAGAGGAUGUUCUUGAAGGCAGACAGAGCAACUUUUCCCCCCGAAGGGAGUCCAUUGCCGUUAUCUGAAAGGAAAUGGCAAUCAGCCUUCUUAAGGAAUCAGGUAUAAAGGGUAAUAGUACAGUAUGAGAGUUAAUACCGAAGGCACUGAUGAUGCACUUGUAAUAUUCUAAGCUCUUUUUACUGCACAGAUUAAUUUUGGGCCUGGAUCAUGAAGCUGCCUUUAAGUUAGGUUUAGCUUAAAUUCUCACAAUUGACAAUACAGUAAUAGUUCAGUGAGCUUGUUAAAUCUAGCCAGGUUCAUUGCAUUAAAAUUGAUCACUUAAUUGCACUUUGUUGGGUGAGCAGCAGCGUUGUCGUGUUAAUCUUGUAUUGUACAUGAAUAAAAAAAAUUGUGCAGCUAAACAUUUAAAAUGACUGGUAAAUACAUACAUGAAGAACAAACUACUUCAUCUACAGUAGUGAAACAGUCUGGUGGUGGAGUUUCUAACUAUUUCUAACUUGCAUGUGAGACUGCAAUGUCUGGGGGCCACUAAAGUUGCUGUUUUCAGGAAUGAAUAGUUGAUACAGGUAAGAGUACCUGAGAUGUACCUAUUAGUGCACGUUCUAAAAUAUGCACCCAAAUAUGAUUAUUGCACAAAUGAUCUGAGCAGUCUGUCUGUUUUGUGGAGAGCAGGACACUCUGGGGGAUGCAGUGUCACAAGAUGAAUGGGUAAUUUAGUAGUGAACACUUUAGUUGUAUUUUUAAACUUUUUCAACUGCAACUCCAAACAUCUUCUAAUCAAAAUUAAAAAUAAAUAAAUACAGAAAUAGAAGUAGAUGUUUUCUAAAAGUUUAUGCAAAUUAAAUGUCCAUGGUUUCCAUACUUCGUUAUGAUUUCCUAAUUAAACUCUACACUGCAUUAGUUUUUCUGCACCCUCUACUUUCCUUUGUAUUUUUCAGAUUGCGUGCGAUGGCUGCAGCAGGUGGUUCCUCCACGUGUUUCACGGCCAUCAACUUAGGUCAGCUUUUGUGCAGCAUGCACAAUGUGAGGACACACAGAUGCUUCAUUUCCACUGCAGGCGCAACUGGGCCAGCCGCGCAAGAGCCGUGCCCCCGCCAAGAAACGUCUCCAGUGACGGGCCUCCCUAACCAGAGCUGUUGUAGCCUACUCGAGUCUCAGCUAAUGCUACCGUGGAACACAGAGAAGACGGCUUUGGGACUUUUUAUUGUUAUAAACAUUUCUUAUUGAUUGCUGCUGUUAGACAAUUACAUUACCUUUGCUGCUGUAACCAUUUCCAACGUUACUGAUAUUGAUAUAGUUAGCUGGUUAUUGCUGUAGCCGAACCUAUAUUUAAGUUGUGAUGGUUACUGCUGUUAUGGAUAUAGCUAUUUGUCCAUUGUUGCUAUUGCUGUAGCUAAAUCUAUAUUUGAAUUGUGAUAAUCAUUGUGAAUACUGCUGCUACUGAUCCAGCUAUUGUUAUUGCGACCAAUAUUUAGUUAUAUUUUGUAUAUGUGCUUGGCCAUUGUAGUGUGUUUUUAAUCUGAUUGUUUUAAUAAUUAAAUUAAUCCCUUUCAAAA